RNAcentral lists this transfer RNA (72 nucleotides) under Perkinsus olseni. RNAcentral's name for it is "tRNA-Pro". It matches the Rfam family "tRNA". Rfam says of the family: Transfer RNA (tRNA) molecules are approximately 80 nucleotides in length. Their secondary structure includes four short double-helical elements and three loops (D, anti-codon, and T loops). The record is from RNAcentral. Lineage: Eukaryota; Perkinsozoa; Perkinsida; Perkinsidae.
GGCUGUGUGGUCUAGUGGUAUGAUUCUCCCUUAGGGUGCGAGAGGUCCCGAAUUCAAUUAUCGGCACAGCCC